AUUGAACGCUGGCGGAAUGCUAUACACAUGCAAGUCGAACGGCAGCGCGGACUUCGGUCUGGUGGCGAGUGGCGAACGGGUGAGUAACAUAUCGGAACGUAUCCAAUAAUGGGGGAUAACGAGUCGAAAGAUUCGCUAAUACCGCAUACGCCCUACGGGGGAAAGCUGGGGACCUUCGGGCCUGGCGUGAAUGGCGCGGCCGAUAUCUGAUUAGCUAGUGGGUGAGGUAAAGGCUCACCAAGGCGACGAUCAGUAGCUGGUCUGAGAGGACGACCAGCCACACUGGAACUGAGACACGGUCCAGACUCCUACGGGAGGCAGCAGUGGGGAAUUUUGGACAAUGGGCGCAAGCCUGAUCCAGCCAUUCCGCGUGAGUGAAGAAGGCCUUCGGGUUGUAAAGCUCUUUCGCAAGGGAAGAAAACUUAGCCACUAACAUUGGUUGAGGUUGACGGUACCUUGAUAAGAAGCACCGGCUAACUACGUGCCAGCCGCCGCCGUAA
RNAcentral lists this ribosomal RNA (500 nucleotides) under uncultured bacterium. Its description in RNAcentral is "partial 16S ribosomal RNA". It matches the Rfam family "Bacterial small subunit ribosomal RNA", at positions 30 to 523 of the family's 1533-position model. The record is from RNAcentral.